RNAcentral lists this ribosomal RNA (32 nucleotides) under Morchella esculenta. RNAcentral describes it as "partial 28S ribosomal RNA". The record is from RNAcentral. Lineage: Eukaryota; Fungi; Ascomycota; Pezizomycetes; Pezizales; Morchellaceae.
AUUUGACCUCGGAUCAGGUAGCUAACCCCACG